AGACGUUAUCCCAGUCCCAAAAAUAUCUAAUCCCAAAUCAGUUGAUAGCGACCUAAGACAUAGUUCUCUCACACCGGUGCUGAGUAAAUUAUUGGAAAGCUUCGUUUUUCGGUGGCUUUUUAAUCAUAUCAAACCAUCAAUUGACCCGCUAUAGUUUGGAAAUAUAAAAAAAUUGCUCCACCACACACGCUCUUAUCCAUAUGAUCCAUAAUUGGCUGGCCGAAUUAGAAAACCCUGGUUCAACUAUAUCAGAUGUUAUAUGAUUGACUUUUCGAAAGCCUUCGACCAUCCCUCCCAUCUUGUUGAACUGGUGCGCUGAGUUCCUGCAUGACCAAUAUUUACGUGUCAAACUUGGCCAGAAUAAAUAUCAUCAUGGCGACAAAUAAAUGCAGGGGUUGCACAAGGUACAAAACUUGGACCCCUCUUCUUCCUUGUGAUGAUAAACGACUUGCAAAUUAAAAUUCCAUUGUACAAAUAUGUCGAUGACUGUUCCACUUAUGAAAUCGUUUCAAGAUCCUCCCCAAAUUCAUCCCUUCAAGCUAAUAUAAACACUACAAAAUGACUGGACCAAUCACAACAACAUGCGGCUUAAUGCAUCUAAAACCAAAGAAAUGCGUGUAUCCUUCCUUAAAGCUAGUCCCCAUGGAAUUCGAUGCCCUCUCUUCAUCUGGUUUAAACAUAGAGAUCGUACAAGACCUUCAAACUUCUGGGAGUGAUAAUAUUAUUGGACCUUACCUGGAAUGCGCACGUUGAUUAUAUCUGCACCAAAGCAAGGUCAAGGAAACGUC
Non-coding RNA from Paramuricea clavata, 788 nucleotides. NCBI's taxonomy places the organism in Eukaryota, Metazoa, Cnidaria, Anthozoa, Malacalcyonacea, Plexauridae. The record is from the annotation of a GenBank genome assembly.